This 403-nucleotide ribosomal RNA is filed under the name uncultured beta proteobacterium. Its description in RNAcentral is "bacterial SSU rRNA". It matches the Rfam family "Bacterial small subunit ribosomal RNA", at positions 226 to 622 of the family's 1533-position model. The record is from RNAcentral. Lineage: Bacteria; Pseudomonadati; Pseudomonadota; Betaproteobacteria.
GCGGCUGAUGUCUGAUUAGCUAGUUGGUGGGGUAAAGGCUUACCAAGGCAACGAUCAGUAGCUGGUCUGAGAGGACGACCAGCCACACUGGGACUGAGACACGGCCCAGACUCCUACGGGAGGCAGCAGUGGGGAAUUUUGGACAAUGGGCGAAAGCCUGAUCCAGCCAUGCCGCGUGAGUGAAGAAGGCCUUCGGGUUGUAAAGCUCUUUUAGUCGGAAAGAAAGAGUCAUAGUAAAUAGCUAUGAUUUAUGACGGUACCGACAGAAAAAGCACCGGCUAACUACGUGCCAGCAGCCGCGGUAAUACGUAGGGUGCGAGCGUUAAUCGGAAUUACUGGGCGUAAAGGGUGCGCAGCGGNCUUGUAAGUCAGAUGUGAAAGCCCNGGGCUUAACCUGGGAAUU